Molecule: ribosomal RNA, 427 nt
Filed under: uncultured bacterium
Lineage: Bacteria
Description: bacterial SSU rRNA
Rfam family: Bacterial small subunit ribosomal RNA
Source: RNAcentral
UGGGGAAUUUUGGACAAUGGACGCAAGUCUGAUCCAGCCAUGCCGCGUGCGGGAAGAAGGCCUUCGGGUUGUAAACCGCUUUUGUCAGGGAAGAAACGAGUUUCUCUAAUACGGUGGGCUCAUGACGGUACCGUAAGAAUAAGCACCGGCUAACUACGUGCCAGCAGCCGCGGUAAUACGUAGGGUGCGAGCGUUAAUCGGAAUUACUGGGCGUAAAGCGUGCGCAGGCGGUUAUAUAAGACAGAUGUGAAAUCCCCGGGCUCAACCUGGGGACUGCGUUUGUGACUGCAUAACUAGAGUACGGCAGAGGGAGGUGGAAUUCCGCGUGUAGCAGUGAAAUGCGUAGAUAUGCGGAGGAACACCGAUGGCGAAGGCAGCCUCCUGGGCCAGUACUGACGCUCAUGCACGAAAGCGUGGGGAGCAAACA